CAAACAUAACUAACUCAUGUAACAGCUGGAGGCAACAGCAAAACAGACUGAGCUCAUCGAAAGGACUUGGAAAGAACUCAGUUAAACAACUGAAUAAUGCCCUAACAAAAUUCUUCACAAGACUUCGUUUAGUGAAUCUCUGGGGACUGGGCGUGAACGUGACAUCUCACCCCUG
This is a long non-coding RNA of Camelus dromedarius (Arabian camel), 175 nucleotides long. RefSeq lists it as uncharacterized. The record is from RefSeq and is a predicted model, not a curated record. The transcript has 3 exons. NCBI's taxonomy places the organism in Eukaryota, Metazoa, Chordata, Mammalia, Artiodactyla, Camelidae.